RNAcentral lists this ribosomal RNA (735 nucleotides) under uncultured Gammaproteobacteria bacterium. Its description in RNAcentral is "bacterial SSU rRNA". It matches the Rfam family "Bacterial small subunit ribosomal RNA", at positions 594 to 1331 of the family's 1533-position model. Lineage: Bacteria; Pseudomonadati; Pseudomonadota; Gammaproteobacteria. The record is from RNAcentral.
GUGAAAGCCCCGGGCUUAACCUGGGAAUUGCAUUCGAUACUGCAUAACUAGAGUAUGGUAGAGGGAAGUGGAAUUUCCGGUGUAGCGGUGAAAUGCGUAGAUAUCGGAAGGAACACCAGUGGCGAAGGCGACUUCCUGGGCCAAUACUGACGCUGAGGUGCGAAAGCGUGGGGAGCAUACAGGAUUAGAUACCCUGGUAGUCCACGCCGUAAACGAUGAGAACUAGAUGUCGGGAGCAUUUGGCUUUCGGUGUCGCAGCUAACGCGUUAAGUUCUCCGCCUGGGGAGUACGCCGGCAACGGUAAAACUCAAAGGAAUUGACGGGGACCCGCACAAGCGGUGGAGCAUGUGGUUUAAUUCGAUGCAACGCGAAGAACCUUACCUGCCCUUGACAUUGACAGAAUCCUGUAGAGAUACGGGAGUGCUUCGGCCUGGAAAACAGGUGCUGCAUGGCUGUCGUCAGCUCGUGUCGUGAGAUGUUGGGUUAAGUCCCGCAACGAGCGCAACCCUUGUCCUUAGUUGCCAGCACGUAAUGGUGGGGACUCUAGGGAGACUGCCGGUGACAACCGGAGGAAGNGUGGGGACGACGUCAAGUCAUCAUGGCCCUUAUGGGCAGGGCUACACACGUGCUACAAUGGCGAAUACAGAGGGUUGCCAACCAGCAAUGGUGCGCUAAUCCCUUAAAGCUCGUCGUAGUCCGGAUUGGAGUCUGCAACUCGACUCCAUGAAGUCGGAA